GAUUAGCUAGUAGGUGGGGUAAUGGCUCACCUAGGCGACGAUCCCUAGCUGGUCUGAGAGGAUGAUCAGCCACACUGGAACUGAGACACGGUCCAGACUCCUACGGGAGGCAGCAGUAGGGAAUAUUGCGCAAUGGAGGAAACUCUGACGCAGCGACGCCGCGUGAGUGAUGAAGGCCUUCGGGUCGUAAAGCUCUGUCGCAGGGGAAUAAAAAAAUGAAGGUACCCUGUAAGAAAGGAUCGGCUAACUUCGUGCCAGCAGCCGCGGUAAGACGAGGGAUCCUAGCGUUGUUCGGAGUUAUUGGGCGUAAAGCGGGUGUAGGUGGCUUUGUAAGUCAGGUGUGAAAUCCCAGGGCUCAACCCUGGACGUGCAUUUGAUACUGCAAAGCUUGAGUGUGGGAGAGGUUACUAGAAUACCUGGUGUAGUGGUGAAAUACGUAGAUAUCAGGUGGAAUACCGGAGGCGAAGGCGGGUAACUGGCCCAACACUGACACUCAGACCCGAAAGCGUGGGGAUCAAACAGGAUUAGAUACCCUGGUAGUCCACGCCGUAAACGAUGGACACUUGUUGUUGGAGGUAUUGACCCCUUCAGUGAC
Molecule: ribosomal RNA, 595 nt
Filed under: Bdellovibrio sp.
Lineage: Bacteria; Pseudomonadati; Bdellovibrionota; Bdellovibrionia; Bdellovibrionales; Pseudobdellovibrionaceae
Description: bacterial SSU rRNA
Rfam family: Bacterial small subunit ribosomal RNA
Source: RNAcentral